RNAcentral lists this ribosomal RNA (253 nucleotides) under uncultured bacterium. Its description in RNAcentral is "partial 16S ribosomal RNA". It matches the Rfam family "Bacterial small subunit ribosomal RNA", at positions 524 to 776 of the family's 1533-position model. The record is from RNAcentral.
UACGUAGGGGGCUAGCGUUGUCCGGAAUUACUGGGCGUAAAGCGCGCGUAGGCGGCUUUGUAAGUUAGAGGUGAAAGCCCGGAGCUCAACUCCGGAACUGCCUUUAAAACUGCAUCGCUUGAAUCCAGGAGAGGUGAGUGGAAUUCCGAGUGUAGAGGUGAAAUUCGUAGAUAUUCGGAAGAACACCAGUGGCGAAGGCGGCUCACUGGACUGGUAUUGACGCUGAGGUGCGAAAGCGUGGGGAGCAAACAGG